This 361-nucleotide ribosomal RNA is filed under the name uncultured Methanomicrobiales archaeon. RNAcentral's name for it is "bacterial SSU rRNA". It matches the Rfam family "Archaeal small subunit ribosomal RNA", at positions 976 to 1338 of the family's 1478-position model. The record is from RNAcentral. Lineage: Archaea; Methanobacteriati; Methanobacteriota; Methanomicrobia; Methanomicrobiales.
CUAGCUGAGAGAGGUGCAUGGCCGUCGUCAGUUCGUACUGUGAAGCAUCCUGUUAAGUCAGGCAACGAGCGAGACCCACGCCAACAGUUGCCAGCUCGUCCUCCGGGAUGUGGGGACACUGUUGGGACCGCCUCUGCUAAAGAGGAGGAAGGGAAUGGGCAACGGUAGGUCAGCAUGCCCCGAAUUAUCUGGGCUACACGCGGGCUACAAUGGGUGGGACAAUGGGUAUCGACACCGAAAGGUGAAGGCAAUCUCCUAAACCCAUCCGUAGUUCGGAUUGUGGGCUGCAACUCGCCCACAUGAAGCUGGAAUCUGUAGUAAUCGUGUCUCAAAUGGCACGGUGAAUAUGUCCCUGCUCCUU